This 76-nucleotide transfer RNA is filed under the name Periweissella fabaria. RNAcentral's name for it is "tRNA-Val". It matches the Rfam family "tRNA". Rfam says of the family: Transfer RNA (tRNA) molecules are approximately 80 nucleotides in length. Their secondary structure includes four short double-helical elements and three loops (D, anti-codon, and T loops). Further hydrogen bonds mediate the characteristic L-shaped molecular structure. tRNAs have two regions of fundamental functional importance: the anti-codon, which is responsible for specific mRNA codon recognition, and the 3' end, to which the tRNAs corresponding amino acid is attached (by aminoacyl-tRNA synthetases). tRNAs cope with the degeneracy of the genetic code in two manners: having more than one tRNA (with a specific anti-codon) for a particular amino acid; and 'wobble' base-pairing, i.e. permitting non-standard base-pairing at the 3rd anti-codon position. The record is from RNAcentral. Lineage: Bacteria; Bacillati; Bacillota; Bacilli; Lactobacillales; Lactobacillaceae.
UGGAAGAUUAGCUCAGUUGGGAGAGCAUCUGCCUUACAAGCAGAGGGUCACAGGUUCGAGCCCUGUAUCUUCCAUC